Pseudopipra pipra is the source of this 608-nucleotide long non-coding RNA. RefSeq lists it as uncharacterized. The record is from RefSeq and is a predicted model, not a curated record. The transcript has 2 exons. NCBI's taxonomy places the organism in Eukaryota, Metazoa, Chordata, Aves, Passeriformes, Pipridae.
UGGCGCUCCGGGAUGCGGGGCUGGGAACACACCAGUGCAUCCCUUCUCCCGCAGGCUCCGCUCCCUCCCCCGGAUUCCUGCUUUGCCGCGCGGUUCCAGCUUCAGAGCGCAGAAACUUUCCCGUUUGCUGCGGCGCUGACGCUGAUUUUUGGCUUAUUCGUUUUGGUGAUGAGUUCUCUUUAAAACUUUCCAAAGAAGUGGCCUGUCAAACUAUGAGUGCCCUGGGCAUCAAUGAAAACCAAGAUAUCACACUGUUCUGUAGGUGUUUGCAAAUCUUUGACACAAAGCAUUCAGCCCUGCUCUUCUUUCUCCUGUAAAAUCCCAUCCAGCUCAUUUAUUUCACUUGGAAAGUUCUGGAAUUCUCUCCAAUAUGGUUGUCUACUGGCAGGGCAGCAGAGGGUAGCAAAUGCCAAUGAAUCUGGCUGUGGAUGUGUUCUACAUUUGAGGGUGACUACUAGAAUAUUCAUUUAUUAUUGGUCUCCAUUUAAAUGCAACCCCCUUCUAAGAAGACAUUCAGUACAAACAGCACUAGAUUGCAGCAAACUGGUUCUAGUCCAGUGCUUCUGUUUUUAAAAUGGGCACUUUACAAAUAAAGAUAUAAAAAGACA